Molecule: ribosomal RNA, 473 nt
Filed under: uncultured bacterium
Lineage: Bacteria
Description: partial 16S ribosomal RNA
Rfam family: Bacterial small subunit ribosomal RNA
Source: RNAcentral
GAUAAACGCUGGCGGCGCACAUAAGACAUGCAAGUUGAACGGACUUAAUCGAAAUAUUUAUAUUUUGAAGCGGUUAGUGGCGGACUGGUGAGUAACGCGUAAGGAACCUGCCUAUUAGAGGGGAAUAACAGUGAGAAAUCAUUGCUAAUACCGCAUAUGCCAUAGAUAUCACAUGAUAACAGUGGGAAAGGAGCAAUCCGCUAAUAGAUGGCCUUGCGUCUGAUUAGAUAGUUGGUGGGGUAACGGCCUACCAAGUCGACGAUCAGUAGCCGGACUGAGAGGUUGAACGGCCACAUUGGGACUGAGAUACGGCCCAGACUCCUACGGGAGGCAGCAGUCGGGAAUAUUGCGCAAUGGAGGAAACUCUGACGCAGUGACGCCGUGUAUAGGAAGAAGGUUUUCGGAUUGUAAACUAUUGUCGUUAGGGAAGAGAAAGGACAGUACCUAAGGAGGAAGCUCCGGCUAACUACGUG